Long non-coding RNA from Juglans microcarpa x Juglans regia, 578 nucleotides. RefSeq lists it as uncharacterized. The record is from RefSeq and is a predicted model, not a curated record. The transcript has 2 exons. Lineage: Eukaryota; Viridiplantae; Streptophyta; Magnoliopsida; Fagales; Juglandaceae.
AAACAGCCCCUGUCGACCCCCCACUAUUAGUUAUCAUCCCUAAAUCACUAUAAAAAUACCCUCGGAACAACCUCAUCUAUAUGCCAAAGGUCCCUUGGUGGCUUCGAGAGGCAUAAGUGGGUGGUGGUAGACCGGUCGUUGUGGCUGUGUAACUUUCAAUACCCUAAAAAGCUAACGUUUUGAUGGUUUCAUUUGAAGAGUGCCUUCAGUAGUCCAUGGUUUCUUCUUAUUUUUCCCGAUUGCAGAUAUGUGUUUGUGCAUGCCGAGAUCCUUUCAUUUCUAGGCCUUGCAAUCGAUCAUCAGGAAUUCAUGUAGUUGGUUUAUUAUUUAUUUAUUUAUUUCUAGGCUUUAUCAUCAAUAUUAUUAGCCAGAUAUCUGAAGAGGUCUGAUUCUGUUUAUCAGUCCGUAUGUGCAAUGUUUUUUAAGACGGUGAAAGAGGCUUCGGAUGCCAUGGCUUCUCGUAUAAUUGAAUUGAGUAAUGAUACACAACACUGUAAAAUGAGGUAACUUUUGUAAAAUAAUGUAAUUUUUAUAUGAUAUUUUACAAUAAUAACCUUUAAAGUAUUGUGUGAUUAUCA